GGGAGAAAGCAGGGGACCUUCGGGCCUUGCGCUAUCAGAUGAGCCUAGGUCGGAUUAGCUAGUUGGUGGGGUAAUGGCUCACCAAGGCGACGAUCCGUAACUGGUCUGAGAGGAUGAUCAGUCACACUGGAACUGAGACACGGUCCAGACUCCUACGGGAGGCAGCAGUGGGGAAUAUUGGACAAUGGGCGAAAGCCUGAUCCAGCCAUGCCGCGUGUGUGAAGAAGGUCUUCGGAUUGUAAAGCACUUUAAGUUGGGAGGAAGGGCAGUAAAUUAAUACUUUGCUGUUUUGACGUUACCGACAGAAUAAGCACCGGCUAACUCUGUGCCAGCAGCCGCGGUAAUACAGAGGGUGCAAGCGUUAAUCGGAAUUACUGGGCGUAAAGCGCGCGUAGGUGGUUCGUUAAGUUGGAUGUGAAAUCCCCGGGCUCAACCUGGGAACUGCAUUCAAAGCUGACGAGCUAGAGUAUGGUAGAGGGUGGUGGAAUUUCCUGUGUAGCGGUGAAAUGCGUAGAUAUAGGAAGGAACACCAGUGGCGAAGGCGACCACCU
RNAcentral lists this ribosomal RNA (551 nucleotides) under uncultured Pseudomonas sp. RNAcentral describes it as "bacterial SSU rRNA". It matches the Rfam family "Bacterial small subunit ribosomal RNA", at positions 198 to 730 of the family's 1533-position model. The record is from RNAcentral. Lineage: Bacteria; Pseudomonadati; Pseudomonadota; Gammaproteobacteria; Pseudomonadales; Pseudomonadaceae.